This is a non-coding RNA of Tirmania nivea, 95 nucleotides long. The record is from the annotation of a GenBank genome assembly. Lineage: Eukaryota; Fungi; Ascomycota; Pezizomycetes; Pezizales; Pezizaceae.
GUCUCCGUAGCUCAGUGGUAGUAGCGAGAGAUUGCAGCUGCUGUGUUCGCACAACAAUCAUCUCUAGGUCAGGCGUUCGAACCGCCUCGGGGACU